UUAGUGGCAGGACGGGUGAGUAAUGCAUAGGAAUCUACCUAGUAGUAUGGGAUAGCCACUAGAAAUGGUGGGUAAUACUGUAUAAUCCCUGCGGGGGAAAGAUUUAUCGCUAUUAGAUGAGCCUAUGUUAGAUUAGCUAGUUGGUAGGGUAAAGGCCUACCAAGGCAGUGAUCUAUAGCUGGUCUGAGAGGAUGAUCAGCCACACUGGAACUGAGAUACGGUCCAGACUCCUACGGGAGGCAGCAGUGGGGAAUAUUGGACAAUGGGCGCAAGCCUGAUCCAGCUAUGCCGCGUGAGUGAGGAAGGCCUUAGGGUUGUAAAACUCUUUCAGUGGGGAAGAUAAUGACGGUACCCACAGAAGAAGUCCCGGCAAACUCCGUGCCAGCAGCCGCGGUAAUACGGAGGGGGCAAGCGUUGUUCGGAAU
RNAcentral lists this ribosomal RNA (425 nucleotides) under Anaplasma platys. RNAcentral's name for it is "bacterial SSU rRNA". It matches the Rfam family "Bacterial small subunit ribosomal RNA", at positions 92 to 551 of the family's 1533-position model. Lineage: Bacteria; Pseudomonadati; Pseudomonadota; Alphaproteobacteria; Rickettsiales; Anaplasmataceae. The record is from RNAcentral.